GGUUAAGCGACUAAGCGUACACGGUGGAUGCCCUGGCAGUCAGAGGCGAUGAAGGACGUGCUAAUCUGCGAUAAGCGUCGGUAAGGUGAUAUGAACCGUUAUAACCGGCGAUUUCCGAAUGGGGAAACCCAGUGUGAUUCGUCACACUAUCAUUAACUGAAUCCAUAGGUUAAUGAGGCGAACCGGGGGAACUGAAACAUCUAAGUACCCCGAGGAAAAGAAAUCAACCGAGAUUCCCCCAGUAGCGGCGAGCGAACGGGGAGCAGCCCAGAGCCUGAAUCAGUGUGUGUGUUAGUGGAAGCGUCUGGAAAGGCGCGCGAUACAGGGUGACAGCCCCGUACACAAAAAUGCACAUGCUGUGAGCUCGAUGAGUAGGGCGGGACACGUGGUAUCCUGUCUGAAUAUGGGGGGACCAUCCUCCAAGGCUAAAUACUCCUGACUGACCGAUAGUGAACCAGUACCGUGAGGGAAAGGCGAAAAGAACCCCGGCGAGGGGAGUGAAAAAGAACCUGAAACCGUGUACGUACAAGCAGUGGGAGCCUCUUAAUGGGGUGACUGCGUACCUUUUGUAUAAUGGGUCAGCGACUUAUAUUCUGUAGCAAGGUUAACCGAAUAGGGGAGCCGAAGGGAAACCGAGUCUUAACUGGGCGUUAAGUUGCAGGGUAUAGACCCGAAACCCGGUGAUCUAGCCAUGGGCAGGUUGAAGGUUGGGUAACACUAACUGGAGGACCGAACCGACUAAUGUUGAAAAAUUAGCGGAUGACUUGUGGCUGGGGGUGAAAGGCCAAUCAAACCGGGAGAUAGCUGGUUCUCCCCGAAAGCUAUUUAGGUAGCGCCUCGUGAAUUCAUCUCCGGGGGUAGAGCACUGUUUCGGCAAGGGGGUCAUCCCGACUUACCAACCCGAUGCAAACUGCGAAUACCGGAGAAUGUUAUCACGGGAGACACACGGCGGGUGCUAACGUCCGUCGUGAAGAGGGAAACAACCCAGACCGCCAGCUAAGGUCCCAAAGUCAUGGUUAAGUGGGAAACGAUGUGGGAAGGCCCAGACAGCCAGGAUGUUGGCUUAGAAGCAGCCAUCAUUUAAAGAAAGCGUAAUAGCUCACUGGUCGAGUCGGCCUGCGCGGAAGAUGUAACGGGGCUAAACCAUGCACCGAAGCUGCGGCAGCGACGCUUAUGCGUUGUUGGGUAGGGGAGCGUUCUGUAAGCCUGCGAAGGUGUACUGUGAGGUAUGCUGGAGGUAUCAGAAGUGCGAAUGCUGACAUAAGUAACGAUAAAGCGGGUGAAAAGCCCGCUCGCCGGAAGACCAAGGGUUCCUGUCCAACGUUAAUCGGGGCAGGGUGAGUCGACCCCUAAGGCGAGGCCGAAAGGCGUAGUCGAUGGGAAACAGGUUAAUAUUCCUGUACUUGGUGUUACUGCGAAGGGGGGACGGAGAAGGCUAUGUUGGCCGGGCGACGGUUGUCCCGGUUUAAGCGUGUAGGCUGGUUUUCCAGGCAAAUCCGGAAAAUCAAGGCUGAGGCGUGAUGACGAGGCACUACGGUGCUGAAGCAACAAAUGCCCUGCUUCCAGGAAAAGCCUCUAAGCAUCAGGUAACAUCAAAUCGUACCCCAAACCGACACAGGUGGUCAGGUAGAGAAUACCAAGGCGCUUGAGAGAACUCGGGUGAAGGAACUAGGCAAAAUGGUGCCGUAACUUCGGGAGAAGGCACGCUGAUACGUAGGUGAAGCGACUUGCUCGUGGAGCUGAAAUCAGUCGAAGAUACCAGCUGGCUGCAACUGUUUAUUAAAAACACAGCACUGUGCAAACACGAAAGUGGACGUAUACGGUGUGACGCCUGCCCGGUGCCGGAAGGUUAAUUGAUGGGGUUAGCGGUAACGCGAAGCUCUUGAUCGAAGCCCCGGUAAACGGCGGCCGUAACUAUAACGGUCCUAAGGUAGCGAAAUUCCUUGUCGGGUAAGUUCCGACCUGCACGAAUGGCGUAAUGAUGGCCAGGCUGUCUCCACCCGAGACUCAGUGAAAUUGAACUCGCUGUGAAGAUGCAGUGUACCCGCGGCAAGACGGAAAGACCCCGUGAACCUUUACUAUAGCUUGACACUGAACAUUGAGCCUUGAUGUGUAGGAUAGGUGGGAGGCUUUGAAGUGUGGACGCCAGUCUGCAUGGAGCCGACCUUGAAAUACCACCCUUUAAUGUUUGAUGUUCUAACGUUGGCCCCUGAUCGGGGUUGCGGACAGUGUCUGGUGGGUAGUUUGACUGGGGCGGUCUCCUCCUAAAGAGUAACGGAGGAGCACGAAGGUUGGCUAAUCCUGGUCGGACAUCAGGAGGUUAGUGCAAUGGCAUAAGCCAGCUUGACUGCGAGCGUGACGGCGCGAGCAGGUGCGAAAGCAGGUCAUAGUGAUCCGGUGGUUCUGAAUGGAAGGGCCAUCGCUCAACGGAUAAAAGGUACUCCGGGGAUAACAGGCUGAUACCGCCCAAGAGUUCAUAUCGACGGCGGUGUUUGGCACCUCGAUGUCGGCUCAUCACAUCCUGGGGCUGAAGUAGGUCCCAAGGGUAUGGCUGUUCGCCAUUUAAAGUGGUACGCGAGCUGGGUUUAGAACGUCGUGAGACAGUUCGGUCCCUAUCUGCCGUGGGCGCUGGAGAACUGAGGGGGGCUGCUCCUAGUACGAGAGGACCGGAGUGGACGCAUCACUGGUGUUCGGGUUGUCAUGCCAAUGGCACUGCCCGGUAGCUAAAUGCGGAAGAGAUAAGUGCUGAAAGCAUCUAAGCACGAAACUUGCCCCGAGAUGAGUUCUCCCUGACUCCCUGAGAGUCCUGAAGGAACGUUGAAGACGACGACGUUGAUAGGCCGGGUGUGUAAGCGCAGCGAUGCGUUGAGCUAACCGGUACUAAUGAACCGUGAGGCUUAACCUU
Molecule: ribosomal RNA, 2905 nt
Filed under: Escherichia coli
Lineage: Bacteria; Pseudomonadati; Pseudomonadota; Gammaproteobacteria; Enterobacterales; Enterobacteriaceae
Description: 23S ribosomal RNA
Rfam family: Bacterial large subunit ribosomal RNA
Source: RNAcentral